Long non-coding RNA from Alligator mississippiensis (American alligator), 3839 nucleotides. RefSeq lists it as uncharacterized. The transcript is spliced from 4 exons. The record is from RefSeq and is a predicted model, not a curated record. Lineage: Eukaryota; Metazoa; Chordata; Crocodylia; Alligatoridae.
CUGAUUUUACAGAAAGCAGCACUCUGGUCUCACUCUCAAGCUGGUGAGAUGGGGAGCAGCAGGCCGGCUCAGAGAGUGACCUCCCUCGGUUUGCUACCCCCUAACACGGUCUUUCCUUGGAUAAGGCAUCUGAGGACCACAGGCUUCACAAGCCAGCUCCAGCUCCUAAGUGGUGGGACUGCAGGCAAGCACUAGAGACCUGGCAAUGACUUCAGGGCCAGUCACCAGACCAGCAUCGUCAGGAAUGCAUUGAUGUAAUCACACACACACACAGAAGAACCACGUUCCGCUUUCAGCCACUCUCUGAUGACCUGGGGAGCUGCACAAAGGAGCAAAUGAACUCACCCCAGCUGGCAGCCCACUAUUUAACAGGACACAUUUGUAGGCAAAUUACUGGCAGUAGUGAUUUUCAGAGCUGUGCAGGAGGUGUAGAGGCCUGAAUCCUCCAGGCAGGGCCAAAAGUCUCAGCCACUGGGUUCCACGUGAAUGCAGCUCCCAUGACUGGGGGCGCAGUCGUGUCAGGGGCCAGCGGGCACACCACCUUAGCACUUCCAGGAAUGCCUUCUCUCAAAAGUUCUCUCCCUGAUGAGUACGAGACAGAAAGCGGGCAAAAAUGCUGCUGGGAUUAGCUUUGGCUGUGUAAUAUCUGAGCGGGUGGUGGAGGUUUUGGCUCACAGAUUUUAAGAGAGCUAUGCAAUUUUGUGACCUUUCAGUCCUUAGGGCUUUUCAGUAGCUCAAUACCCUGUUGAUGCAUUGACUCUGAGUCCUAUGUGGGCUUACCAACUGUGUUAGCUGCUAUGGCUCUUUUACAGCAGCAGUUCAGGUGAGUCCGUAUCCUGGUCUGCGACUCAGAGGUUCUGAGUGCAGUUCCCAGUUCUAGCACAUGCUUCCUGUGUGACUUGGAGCAAACUGCUUCUGUCUAGAUCCUCUGCCACCAAAUAGGUGUCUAAGUGGCACAUAAAGCAUGUAAGCAAGUGUGAUCCUAUUCCACCCUGGUCAACUCUGAGAAACCACGAAUGCACCUGCUUUUGUAAAUGCCUUCGUCUUGGCCUUCAGACUAUAUCACAAAAAUUGGUGAGGAAAGGAUGACCCACCCACCUUUUGUAUUAGAGGCUUUUCAGGGACGCGAGCAAGAUGGAAGAGGUUUGCACAUAGAUGUGCCAAAUUAUUGAAAAGUAGGCUGCAGGGGGCCUCAGGAGGCCCUUGAGUCCAGCCCUGCUCAAGGCAGGAUCAUCCCUGUCCAAACCAUCCUUGGAAAGUGUUUGUCUAAACUAUUCUUAAAAGUGUAUUAACAGUGCUCUUGCACAACUACCAGCUGCAAUGCCUGAGAAUAGAAAAAACACCUUAAGUUGCCACAGGUAAAGCAGGGGAGUGAGGGCACUGUCAAUCUCCUGCCUCUGUAAGAAUGUGAAACAGUUUGUUAAAAUAUAUAAGUAACACUUAGCUGCCUAAUAGGAAGAAUAGGGUAUGGCCCUAAAUGUCUCUCUGCCUCAGUUCUUCAUCUGCACAAUGGGGAAUGAAGUAAGUAUUUUCUCCCAUACUUUUCUUGUUGUGCCAUAAAGACUGGAUGCUCUUAUUCCAAGUUAUGAGUGCCUUGACAGUGGAUCAUACUGAACAGGAGUGGAGCGCUCAUUUUAGAGUUGGAGAGCGUCUGCCCAUGGACUUACUCCAAAAUAAUCACUGGGCAUGUCUACACGUGCCAUUAAGGUGUAGCAAUAAAGUGCAGAGUUUAUUGCUUCGCAGUUUAUUACUCCACAGUAUUGCUCCUGGGAAGCUCCUGGGCACGCUCUUUACAUGUGUACCCAGACCACAGGACAUUGAACUGGGUCAGAGCAGCCCCAGCUGACAGGGGGCCCCGGAUGUCAGCCUGCCAGCCCAGGGCUGCUCUGACCAGGCUCAAUGUGUGGCAAAGGGGCUGGCUGGAGCAUGAGGUUGCUCCCAUACAGGGCUAGCUGAGAGGCAGCCCCAGCACUGAAGCAUCCUCAUGCCCCAGCCAGCUGAGUCAGUGUCUACUAUGUACAAAAAAACUCCACAGCUGGAUAGGACUUGUAUUUACAAGUCCUGUCCUGCUGCAGAGUUUAUUAGUUUCCUGUGCCCUAGUAGGGGUGCACGUCUGGACGCUGAGAUGUUUACUGCACAGUUAAUUAGUCAACUGCACAGUAAAUGUCUCAUGUAGAUGCACCCACUUAGCUUUAAAUUCACACCUUCCUUUAAUCCAAAUGAAUUUUUGAGUGUAGACAAAUCCUUAGUAGAUAUACAGUAUCUAGCAAAAUGGGACCCUGACCUCAACUGACACGUGCAGGAACUGCUUUAAUACCACUUAGUAAGAUAAGCAGAAUGCUGGCUUGCAGUGCCAGUGAGACACCUCUGUUUAGAAUCGGGGAAGUCUGUAACAUCUGUGUUUGGAAGGAGUACAUCCAUUGAUCAAGGGUUCAUUGAUCUAUGCCUUGGUAAGGUUGCAGAUCAGGGUUUAUUUUGGUUGAUGACUGAUUUCUACACCAGAAAUUCCAGUGUGGGGCUUGGUGCGUACAUGGAGUUUUAACCUGGGAAUAAGUGGAGGACACAAAUAGAAUCAUCAAAUCAUAGAAAAUUAGGAUUGGAAGCAACCUCAGGAGGUCAUCUAGGUCCAACCCCCUGCUCAAAGCAGGACCAUCCCCAAUUAGAUCAUUCCAGCCAGGGUUUUGUCAAGCUGAGCCUUCAAAACUUGCAAGGAUGGAGAUUCUACUACCUCUCUAGGCAACCCGUUCCAGUGCUUCACCAUCCUCCUAGUGAGAAAGUUUUUCCUGAUAUCCAACCUAAACUUCCCUUGGUGCAACUUGAGACCAUUGCUUCUUGUUCUAUCAUCUGCCACCACUGAGAAGAGUGGUGAAAGACCACUCUUGCAAACCAGUUCACCACUUGCCCUUGUUGCCCUUAUUGAUUUCACAAGCAGCAGUGAGGUGUAUACCCCAUUGCCCAAUGGGAAUGUGGGUUUUUUGCAUUUCAUGGCCAUAAACAACAUCACCUCUUGUGCCCAAAGUAGAUACGUGGAGAGAAAGAGCCUUGCCAUGGAUUUGCAUUGUCUUUCUUGUGAUUUUGAUGCUUGAUCCCAGACUUGCUUUUGUUUGCAAGGUCUGAUGGCACUGAACUCAAUGUCAAAAAUAUCUACUUCAGAGUCAGAUCUUAUGACACUUGUCACAGGCAAGUUUUCCCAAUACAGUUCCUCAAGCCAAACUGCAGUAUUCCCUGCUGCUCCAUUCAUAAACUACAACUGCCAACAGGGCUGACUUGUUUCCAAGUCUGUGAUGUUCUGGUUACAUGGACAAACACUUGCUGGGAAAACGUACCAUCACUCUGAACCCAUUUAUAUUCUUUCCUUGGCUCUCUAGCUAUGAGAAACAGAACUUGCUUAAAAAUCCAGGAUUCAUAGAUACAGUAAAGUCAUAUCCAUACCAUAUCGGAAUCACUGCAGCAAAGCAGGGUAUGCCUAUUCUGAGCAUAACAAACCCAAAAGGGAUGUAAUGGAGCCGCCCUUAGUGCAGGACUGGACAUGAGCUGAUGAACAAGCCUGAAAAGAGAGCUUAUUGGUGUGUAUCCAGUACCAUGCUAAUGGUGGCUACAAUACAGAAUGCAUCCCUUGCCCUUAAAGAGAUGGACUGGGUGUGUGCCAUGCUUCACUCCCUAACAUAGCCCCAUAAACACACCUUAAGUGUCACACUGAUUUUUUGUUAAUGCCCCAAGAAGACACUGGGUAACACAGAAAGGGAAGAGAGGAGUGUCCGUGGGCUGCCGUUUGUUCCCAUGAUUCCAUCUCCACCGUUGUUCGGAAGCUGCAACAGCAACAGUACUAUGCCUUGUAA